UUUACCUUCGUACACACCAACAACCUCGUCCUCACCACCACUCUUCACGACUCUCCCUCUACAAACACACACAAUGCUGCCUCUACCACAAAUUUCACACGACCUCCAUCUUCCACCAUCCUCAUCCCUUUCUAAAAAACAAAGCAGUUACUCCCUCCAACUCACCACCCCUCAUCACUUUAAAACUCACAGAAAUCUCAACACCCUCCAUUUUUAACUUCCUCAUCAACUUUCAACCUCACCCACCAUCACUCAUUA
Molecule: long non-coding RNA, 258 nt
Filed under: Lathyrus oleraceus (garden pea)
Lineage: Eukaryota; Viridiplantae; Streptophyta; Magnoliopsida; Fabales; Fabaceae
Description: Pisum sativum (pea) long non-coding RNA (PSAT_LNC037136)
Source: RNAcentral